Molecule: long non-coding RNA, 309 nt
Organism: Neofelis nebulosa (Clouded leopard)
Lineage: Eukaryota; Metazoa; Chordata; Mammalia; Carnivora; Felidae
Exons: 2
Source: RefSeq, a predicted model, not a curated record
UUGGCUGAAUGAAAACAGCCAUCACGGCAGCUCCCAUCUGAGUACCCGACUCUGUGUGGACGGCGGGCAAAGUCCUUUCUCAUGUGUCAUUGAGGUCGGCAGUUUUGUCGUUUCACUUUCACAGACAAAGGGCUGGAAUGAAGACAGGGUGCUGGGGGACCAGCUUUCACCACGACAUCGAAGACAACACCCACGGGGCCGGUGGAACAACAAGACCGAGGGCUGGGUCCUGCCCGGGUGACGUCAUGGAGAGAGCUGCCCACCUCCCAGCUAUUAAGUGAAAGAGAAAUAAACAUCCACUUUGUCUGA